GAUGAAGAACGUAGCGAAAUGCGAUAAGUAAUGUGAAUUGCAGAAUUCAGUGAAUCAUCGAAUCUUUGAACGCACAUUGCGCCCGCCAGUAUUCUGGCGGGCAUGCCUGUUCGAGCGUCAUUUCAACCAUCAAGCCCUGCUUGCGUUGGGGUCCUGCGGCUGCCCGCAGGCCCUGAAAACCAGUGGCGGGCUCGCUGGUCACACCGAGCGCAGUAAUACAUCUCGCUUUGGGCGUGCGGCGGGUUCUUGCCGUUAAACACCCCCUUUUUACCAAGGUUGACCUCGGAUCAGGUAGGAAUACCCGCUGAACUUAAGCAUAUCAAUAAGCGGAGGA
This 334-nucleotide unclassified non-coding RNA is filed under the name soil metagenome. RNAcentral describes it as "partial contains 5.8S ribosomal RNA, internal transcribed spacer 2, and large subunit ribosomal RNA". The stretch from base 1 to 120 matches the Rfam family "5.8S ribosomal RNA", at positions 35 to 154 of the family's 154-position model. The record is from RNAcentral.